GAUGAACGCUAGCGGCAGGCUUAACACAUGCAAGUCGGGCGGCAGCGGGGUGGGAGCUUGCUCCCACUGCCGGCGAGCGGCGCACGGGUGAGUAACACGUAUGCAACCUGCCCCUGUCAGGGGGACAACCCGCCGAAAGGCGGGCUAAGCCCGCGUAUAUCUCCCCGGGGCAUCCCGGGGGGAGGAAAGGAGCGAUCCGGACAGGGAUGGGCAUGCGGCGCAGUAGCUGGUCGGCGGGGUAACGGCCCACCGAGGCGACGAUGCGUAGGGGUUCUGAGAGGAAGGUCCCCCACACUGGUACUGAGACACGGACCAG
RNAcentral lists this ribosomal RNA (316 nucleotides) under uncultured bacterium. RNAcentral's name for it is "bacterial SSU rRNA". It matches the Rfam family "Bacterial small subunit ribosomal RNA", at positions 28 to 334 of the family's 1533-position model. The record is from RNAcentral.